GACGAACGCUGGCGGCGUGCUUAACACAUGCAAGUCGAACGGAAAGGCCCUGCUUGCAGGGUACUCGAGUGGCGAACGGGUGAGUAACACGUGGGUGAUCUGCCCUGCACUUCGGGAUAAGCCUGGGAAACUGGGUCUAAUACCGGAUAGGAGCCAUUUUUAGUGUGAUGGUUGGAAAGUUUUUUCGGUGUAGGAUGAGCUCGCGGCCUAUCAGCUUGUUGGUGGGGUAAUGGCCUACCAAGGCGGCGACGGGUAGCCGGCCUGAGAGGGUGGACGGCCACAGUGGGACUGAGAGACGGCCCAGACUCCUACGGGAGGCAGCAGGGGGGAAUAUUGCACAAUGGGCGCAAGCCUGAUGCAGCGACGCCGCGUGGGGGAUGACGGCCUUCGGGUUGUAAACUCCUUUCGCUAGGGACGAAGCUUUUUGUGACGGUACCUAGAUAAGAAGCACCGGCUAACUACGUG
Molecule: ribosomal RNA, 465 nt
Filed under: uncultured bacterium
Lineage: Bacteria
Description: partial 16S ribosomal RNA
Rfam family: Bacterial small subunit ribosomal RNA
Source: RNAcentral